AUUGAACGCUGGCGGCAUGCCUUACACAUGCAAGUCGAACGGUAACGGGCCUUCGGGUGCCGACGAGUGGCGAACGGGUGAGUAAUACAUCGGAACGUGCCCGAUCGUGGGGGAUAACGAGGCGAAAGCUUUGCUAAUACCGCAUACGAUCUACGGUUGAAAUCAGGGGACCGCAAGGCCUUGCGCGGGCGGAGCGGCCGAUGGCAGAUUAGAUAGUUGGUGGGAUAAAAGCUUACCAAGCCGACGAUCUGUAGCUGGUCUGAGAGGAUGAUCAGCCACACUGGGACUGAGACACGGCCCAGACUCCUACGGGAGGCAGCAGUGGGGAAUUUUGGACAAUGGGCGCAAGCCUGAUCCAGCCAUGCCGCGUGCAGGAUGAAGGCCUUCGGGUUGUAAACUGCUUUUGUACGGAACGAAAAGCCUUCUUUUAAUACAGGAGGGUCAUGACGGUACCGUAAGAAUAAGCACCGGCUAACUACGUG
Molecule: ribosomal RNA, 482 nt
Filed under: uncultured bacterium
Lineage: Bacteria
Description: partial 16S ribosomal RNA
Rfam family: Bacterial small subunit ribosomal RNA
Source: RNAcentral